This is a long non-coding RNA of Corvus hawaiiensis (hawaiian crow), 1341 nucleotides long. RefSeq lists it as uncharacterized. Lineage: Eukaryota; Metazoa; Chordata; Aves; Passeriformes; Corvidae. The transcript is spliced from 3 exons. The record is from RefSeq and is a predicted model, not a curated record.
GGAGACUACAAUAAGCAUUAUCUAUAUUUAAAUGCAAUACUUUCCUUCCUAACUUACUAGAUACGGAGUGAUUGAAUGCAGGAAGUUGUAAUUUGGGAAAAGGCAUGAAGCUACCAACAUGACUGGAUUACAGGGACAUGAUAUCAGUGGCUGGAAUGAACAACUGGUUCCCAUAGAGAAUCUGGGAAAAAGAAGCUCUGUUACAGCCCUCCAAGGAUCAGGCCAUUAUAUUCAUGUGGAAGCUAAGAUAUAAGUGAAGCAGAAAAAAAUGCACCCAGAAGAACCACUCAAUAAGGACAGAAGCAAUGCCCAAGUCCUUCUCUUCCACACAAGUCUACCGAAGCCUUCAUAGGAGCAUCCUUUGUGGGGGGAGGAACCUUGACACCAGGAGGGGAUUGGCUCUGAACUCCAUAGCUUUAGUCCAUGUCAGGAUGGAAAUUAUUUUAGCAACAGUGCUUAGGACAGCUGAUUGGUUUACAGAUGCCUUCUCCCUUCCUCUCUAUUACUUCACGCUGCAACUGUUACCCAUUUGGAGACUUAAGUUGGUACAAAGUCAACAGGCAGAGUUUGCCAAGUGAAUUCCCCUCUUCUAAUAGAAGUGUUGACUGUGAAGCAAUUGUGGAUUUGGUUUUUGUUUUCUUGUUCAUUUGUUAGUUUUUGUGUGUGUGGUUUUUUUCACCAGAAAUAGGGAAGAAUUCAAAUUAAACAGAUUCAGAAUUGAGAAUUUGCUUAAUAGAUAGAAAUAAUGACUAAGAAAUGUUACCCUAAAGCAACUCAGUUACUUUUAUUCAAAAAUCUAGCUGCACUGUGAAAUACAGCAAGUUGUCUCAGUCUACCUGAAGAAAUGAAACAUGCAUGGACUUGGACUAGUUUAGGGCCUCAGCCAGUUCUGACAGCUUUAUUGAAAAUUACUGACAAGUACAAAUGUUACAAGAUGCUUGUCUAUGUCAUGUGAAUUUUAAAUAUUGCUCCAUGACUCUAUAUUGGUAAACAGAAAUCCAUCCUGUUCUUUCCAAAACUUUUAUAUUUGAUGUGUAAAACCACCUAAAAAGGCUUCAUGCUUCAGAGGCAGGACCCAUAGCUGCCUGAUUGUGGGGCAGCAUUUUAGGAGGCAGCACUCUGUGGCUGACCUUCAAAGGUGUGAUCUUUGUGACUACUUGUUGACCUACAUUCCCUUCUUUAAGGCAGCUGGCUGUGGCAUCCCACCCUUAAGGGGAAGGAACACCCAAGACUCAUAGAUUCUCAUGGCAAAAAGGAGCAACAAAAAUCAGAGGGUCCACAAAAGCCCACAAAUUUCAUUAGUAACUUACACACUUGGGAUUUAAAUUGGUAUGUUAGUUU